RNAcentral lists this ribosomal RNA (1434 nucleotides) under Bacillus pumilus. RNAcentral's name for it is "bacterial SSU rRNA". It matches the Rfam family "Bacterial small subunit ribosomal RNA". Lineage: Bacteria; Bacillati; Bacillota; Bacilli; Caryophanales; Bacillaceae. The record is from RNAcentral.
CGUGCCAUCUAUCUGCAGUCGAGCGGACAGAAGGGAGCUUGCUCCCGGAUGUUAGCGGCGGACGGGUGAGUAACACGUGGGUAACCUGCCUGUAAGACUGGGAUAACUCCGGGAAACCGGAGCUAAUACCGGAUAGUUCCUUGAACCGCAUGGUUCAAGGAUGAAAGACGGUUUCGGCUGUCACUUACAGAUGGACCCGCGGCGCAUUAGCUAGUUGGUGGGGUAAUGGCUCACCAAGGCGACGAUGCGUAGCCGACCUGAGAGGGUGAUCGGCCACACUGGGACUGAGACACGGCCCAGACUCCUACGGGAGGCAGCAGUAGGGAAUCUUCCGCAAUGGACGAAAGUCUGACGGAGCAACGCCGCGUGAGUGAUGAAGGUUUUCGGAUCGUAAAGCUCUGUUGUUAGGGAAGAACAAGUGCGAGAGUAACUGCUCGCACCUUGACGGUACCUAACCAGAAAGCCACGGCUAACUACGUGCCAGCAGCCGCGGUAAUACGUAGGUGGCAAGCGUUGUCCGGAAUUAUUGGGCGUAAAGGGCUCGCAGGCGGUUUCUUAAGUCUGAUGUGAAAGCCCCCGGCUCAACCGGGGAGGGUCAUUGGAAACUGGGAAACUUGAGUGCAGAAGAGGAGAGUGGAAUUCCACGUGUAGCGGUGAAAUGCGUAGAGAUGUGGAGGAACACCAGUGGCGAAGGCGACUCUCUGGUCUGUAACUGACGCUGAGGAGCGAAAGCGUGGGGAGCGAACAGGAUUAGAUACCCUGGUAGUCCACGCCGUAAACGAUGAGUGCUAAGUGUUAGGGGGUUUCCGCCCCUUAGUGCUGCAGCUAACGCAUUAAGCACUCCGCCUGGGGGAGUACGGUCGCAAGACUGAAACUCAAAGGAAUUGACGGGGGCCCGCACAAGCGGUGGAGCAUGUGGUUUAAUUCGAAGCAACGCGAAGAACCUUACCAGGUCUUGACAUCCUCUGACAACCCUAGAGAUAGGGCUUUCCCUUUGGGGACAGAGUGACAGGUGGUGCAUGGUUGUUGUCAGCUCGUGUCGUGAGAUGUUGGGAUAAGUCCCGCAACGAGCGCAACCCUUGAUUUUAGUUGCCAGCAUUCAGUUGGGCACUCUAAGGUGACUGCCGGUGACAAACCGGAGGAAGGUGGGGAUGACGUCAAAUCAUCAUGCCCCUUAUGACCUGGGCUACACACGUGCUACAAUGGACAGAACAAAGGGCUGCAAGACCGCAAGGUUUAGCCCAUCCCCUAAAUCUGUUCUCAGUUCGGAUCGCAGUUUGCAACUCGACUGCGUGAAGCUGGAAUCGCUAGUAAUCGCGGAUCAGCAUGCCGCGGUGAAUACGUUCCCGGGCCUUGUACACACCGCCCGUCACACCACGAGAGUUUGCAACACCCGAAGUCGGUGAGGUAACCUUUAUGGAGCCAGCCGCCGAA